This 558-nucleotide ribosomal RNA is filed under the name Triticum aestivum (bread wheat). Its description in RNAcentral is "partial small subunit ribosomal RNA". The record is from RNAcentral. Lineage: Eukaryota; Viridiplantae; Streptophyta; Magnoliopsida; Poales; Poaceae.
AUGGAGGUCCUCGUCUCCACAACCGCGGCCUCCGCUCCCUUAUCCUCGGCCCGCGUCCACCGCCGGCCGCUCCCUGCCUCCGUGACCUUCCGCGCCCCGGCCCGACGAGGCUGGCGCUGCCGCUCCGCCGCGCCGACCAGGCCUGACCCGGUGCCGUCCGAGGAGCCCGCGUCGGCGUCGGGGUCCGCCACCACUACCGUCGUCACGGACAAGCCCGACGCGCCGGACGGGGAGGUCUCCGGUGGAUUUGUGGAGGUGACGAUGGAAGAUGCGCCGGUGUCGUCGCCCGAGGCGGAUGGCGGCGUGGACGACCUACUCGGCAAGUUGGACAUCCAAGUGACACCCACUACUGUCAUCCUCGGAGGCGGUGCUUUGAUUGCUCUGUUGAUCCUAUCUAAAAUCAUUUCUGCAAUUGAUUCUGUUCCCCUGCUUCCAAAUGUGCUGGAAAUCGUAGGAACUGGCUACUCAGUCUGGUUCAUCACACGGUACCUCCUCUUUAAGGAAAGCAGAGACGAACUGUUUGCGAAAUUUGAAGAUCUGAAAAACAAUAUCAUUUGA